Molecule: long non-coding RNA, 1363 nt
Organism: Tachysurus fulvidraco (yellow catfish)
Lineage: Eukaryota; Metazoa; Chordata; Actinopteri; Siluriformes; Bagridae
Exons: 4
Source: RefSeq, a predicted model, not a curated record
AGCAAACAAUUAACAGCAGGGCAAAACAGCAGACAGAAACAGGGCAAAAACACAGACAGACUCAUUACAACCUAACACUUUGAAAUGCUGUAGUUCUAGAAGAACUUUAAGGCUUGGGACACUAGAGUAAAUGAAGUGAACAGUGAACAAAUUCAACAGAAGAGGAUGGAUAAGCAAACUACAGGCUUGCUCCUCUAUAGAUGGGAACCAGAAUCAGAAUGUGUCCAGAAUCAUAUUUAUCCAUUUGGACUGAUAUGGCCAGCAGAAUAAUUGGACAAAUCUGAUUGGAUGAACUGAGAGCAUUCCUGUUCUGGGUCAAUAUUGACCGGAGACAUGACAGGAUACAUUGCAGAUAAUGAUGAUAGAUUGCAUGGAUCUGAUCCUCAGGACUGGCCCAGGCAACCCGAUCACAGACAUUACACACUGAUGCAACAAAAAAAUCUAUACAGCAGACACUACUCUCCAACCUGACAGAUGUGUGAUGUCUAUAAAACCAGUGGUGAGUCAGCCAAAGGUUUUUAUUAAUGUCAGCAUCAGUUGCAUCAAUAGGAUCAAUAGGAAUCGGUUGGACAAAUAGAAACAACUCUUUCCUGCCCCAGGAGCCUUCAUUUAAGUAAGACUCUGAUCAAAUUUAUAUGAUGGCUGAUACAACUCCUUAAUACAGAAAUAGUGUUCUGAAACAUGCUACUGACUUAAUUUUCAGAUAAAUUUGUACCUGAUUAGAGGCCAAAAGAAACUGUUUGUUGCCCAGGAUUGCACAGAUAGAUCAUAGUGACAUCUAGAGUAACAGAAAAGCACAUACAGCACCAAUCCAGCUGAGCACGCAGGAAUCAGUGUUCCUCAAUAGUGAGCACCAACACAGGAUUUUUUUUUUUUUUUUUACAGAUUGCUUCUUAGAAUUUUCUUAUGCUUUAACAAAAUUGUAUCGUUGUCAGUAUAUUAAUGCUAUAUGUAUUAGAAGAAGAAAAUAUCAGUAAAAAAAUGUAUGUAUUAUGUUGUUGGCUUAACACUUGAUAUUUGAUCAGUCUAUCUUAUUCCCCUGCUUUUCAAUGCUCAUACAUUCUAUCUAUACAUAAUUUACUAAUACUUAGUUGUUUCACAUAUCAGUACAUGGAUCUGUUAUAUCUCUUCUCUUCACUAAUUCUGCUUACUCACUUUUUAUGUUUUGAGAAUGUCAAAUUAAUUGAACCAUGCUGUCCCAAAAUAAAAAUCCUGUUAAACAUCAUGAAAAUUAUGAAAUUAUAAACAUAUGUACAUUAUUUGGUCUAAAAUAUUUUGACACUAAUAAUGUGAAAUAUAUUACUUUGACAAUUUUAUAGCUAUGAUGAAACAAUAUAUUAAAAAUGUCAAUGCAUGUAUAAGA